ACAGUCACACAUUAGAUACCCCCUGUAGUCCCAGCCGUAAACUAUGCGCGUUAGGUGUAUCGGUGACCACGAGUUACCGAGGUGCCGAAGGGAAACCGUGAAACGUGCCGCCUGGGAAGUACGGUCGCAAGGCUGAAACUUAAAGGAAUUGGCGGGGAGCACCACAACAGGUGGAGCCUGCGGUUUAAUUGGACUCAACGCCGGGAAGCUCACCGGAUAGGACAGCAGAAUGAUUGCCGGGCUGAAGACCCUGCAUGACUAGCUG
Molecule: ribosomal RNA, 265 nt
Filed under: uncultured archaeon
Lineage: Archaea
Description: partial 16S ribosomal RNA
Rfam family: Archaeal small subunit ribosomal RNA
Source: RNAcentral